Molecule: ribosomal RNA, 253 nt
Filed under: uncultured bacterium
Lineage: Bacteria
Description: partial 16S ribosomal RNA
Rfam family: Bacterial small subunit ribosomal RNA
Source: RNAcentral
UACGUAGGGUGCAAGCGUUGUCCGGAAUUAUUGGGCGUAAAGAGCUCGUAGGCGGUCUGUCGCGUCGGCUGUGAAAACCCGGGGCUCAACCCCGGGCCUGCAGUCGAUACGGGCAGACUAGAGUGCGGUAGGGGAGACUGGAAUUCCUGUUGUAGCGGUGAAAUGCGCAGAUAUCAGGAGGAACACCGGUGGCGAAGGCGGGUCUCUGGGCCGUAACUGACGCUGAGGAGCGAAAGCGUGGGGAGCGAACAGG